This 519-nucleotide ribosomal RNA is filed under the name uncultured Glomus. RNAcentral's name for it is "SSU rRNA". It matches the Rfam family "Eukaryotic small subunit ribosomal RNA", at positions 569 to 1089 of the family's 1831-position model. Lineage: Eukaryota; Fungi; Glomeromycota; Glomeromycetes; Glomerales; Glomeraceae. The record is from RNAcentral.
AGCAGCCGCGGUAAUUCCAGCUCCAAUAGCGUAUAUUAAAGUUGUUGCAGUUAAAAAGCUCGUAGUUGAAUUUCGGGGUUAGUAGGCUGGUCAUGCCACCGGUAUGUACUGGUCUUUCUGAUUCCUCCUUCCUGAUGAACUGUAAUGCCAUUAAUUUGGUGUUGCAGGGAAUCUGGACUGUUACUUUAGAAAAAAUUAGAGUGUUUAAAGCAGGCUAACGCUUGAAUACAUUAGCAUGGAAUAAUGAAAUAGGACGUUCGAUCCUAUUUUGUUGGUUUCUAGGAUUGACGUAAUGAUUAAUAGGGAUAGUUGGGGGCAUUAGUAUUCAAUUGUCAGAGGUGAAAUUCUUGGAUUUAUUGAAGACUAACUACUGCGAAAGCAUUUGCCAAGGAUGUUUUCAUUAAUCAAGAACGAAAGUUAGGGGAUCGAAGACGAUCAGAUACCGUCGUAGUCUUAACCAUAAACUAUGCCGACUAGGGAUCGGAUGAUGUUAAUUUUUAAUGACUCAUUCGGCGUCCG